UUGUGUUCCGCGGUUUGAGGU
Caenorhabditis elegans is the source of this 21-nucleotide non-coding RNA. Lineage: Eukaryota; Metazoa; Nematoda; Chromadorea; Rhabditida; Rhabditidae. The record is from Ensembl.